AGCAGCAGCCACGGUAAUACGAAGGGGGCUAGCGUUGUUCGGAAUUACUGGGCGUAAAGCGCACGCAGGCGGCUUGGUAAGUUAGAGGUGAGAGCCCGGAGCUCAACUCCGGAAUUGCCUUUAAGACUGCCGAGCUAGUAGGUGAGAGAGGUAAGUGGAAUUCCGAGUGUAGAGGUGAAAUUCGUAGAUAUUCGGAAGAACACCAGUGGCGAAGGCGGCUCACUGGCUCAUUCUAGACGCUGAGGUGCGAAAGCGUGGGGAGCAAACAGGAUUAGAUACCCGUGUAGUCCCUGUCUCUUAUAC
RNAcentral lists this ribosomal RNA (303 nucleotides) under uncultured bacterium. RNAcentral describes it as "partial 16S ribosomal RNA". It matches the Rfam family "Bacterial small subunit ribosomal RNA", at positions 507 to 807 of the family's 1533-position model. The record is from RNAcentral.